AGUGAACGCUGGCGGUAGGCCUAACACAUGCAAGUCGAACGGCAGCACAGUAAGAGCUUGCUCUUACGGGUGGCGAGUGGCGGACGGGUGAGGAAUACAUCGGAAUCUACUUUUUCGUGGGGGAUAACGUAGGGAAACUUACGCUAAUACCGCAUACGACCUACGGGUGAAAGCAGGGGAUCUUCGGACCUUGCGCGAUUGAAUGAGCCGAUGUCGGAUUAGCUAGUUGGCGGGGUAAAGGCCCACCAAGGCGACGACCGUAGCUGGUCUGAGAGGAUGAUCAGCCACACUGGAACUGAGACACGGUCCAGACUCCUACGGGAGGCAGCAGUGGGGAAUAUUGGACAAUGGGCGCAAGCCUGAUCCAGCCAUACCGCGUGGGUGAAGAAGGCCUUCGGGUUGUAAAGUCCUUUUGUUGGGAAAGAAAAGCAGCAGGUUAAUACCCCGCUGUUCUGACGGUACCCAAAGAAUAAGCACCGGCUAACUUCGUG
Molecule: ribosomal RNA, 491 nt
Filed under: uncultured bacterium
Lineage: Bacteria
Description: partial 16S ribosomal RNA
Rfam family: Bacterial small subunit ribosomal RNA
Source: RNAcentral